UGAAAAUAUAAAGAAUUGACAAAGUUUAUCAACUCUGAAAGGUUAUAUGGACUUUAAGGUUCAGCAUUAUACCUGACGUUUAGCCCACGUGGCGUUUGAUGGUGUUUUUAUUGGUGGAAAAAGAAAAAAAAAAAGAAAAGAAAAGAAAAGCGAAAUACCAGCCUUGAUCGAUCGCAACCGCCAUCUUGGAUUUUGACCAAAAUAAAAAAUGUAGGGAAAUAAAGAUGGCAGACACGAAUGAUGGUGUAUCGGGAGAAAAGAUGUGCAGCAGCGUCUUCGUAAAUUUGGUAUUUGGGAAACAGCGUCAUUAAAUUCAGGGUGAUGGUAUAUAAUAUAUGGGUAUAGAAUUGUGGGCUUCGUCAGACCUCGUUAUUUUAUUAUUCGUUAUCUAUAAUGACCUUCCAUCAAUGCCUUGGAACAAAAGCUGGUGAAUAAUUAAGUUGUGGUCACGGCCCCUACGCCAAUGGUUUUGCACGGGCUAAUAUCGACGACUAGCUACUGUGUUAUUACCGUUUAAGAUAAACAAGAGUUAGUACAGCGCUUGGCAACGGUUUACAGUACACGGUAAAAAAAAUUUAACGUAUUCCUUCGUAGUAGAACUGCCAAGUUUACAAGUUCUAAAAAGAUGACUUGAAGUAGGGCAUUUCGAAUAGUGGGAAAACUUUGGACUUCUGAAAAGAGAGGAAAGAUGAACGCAAACGAAGAACAAGCUGUCAAAGCAGCACUAAACCAAAUCGAGGGCCUCAUACGGGAACUUGACUGGAGAGUCCCGGAUGGUUACGUCAUGGGGUACGAGCUGGGCUACAUGAAAGGAGUACUGGAGCAUGUACUGCGGGCUCAUCCCGACUUACAAACAAGAGAAGCUUACAUGCAGGGUUAUGUCAGCGGUUAUGGCCAAGGGCUGCUCUACGCAGUCAGGAACAGGUCGCUCAGUUCUCAGCGGGGAGGGGCGGGGAGGAGCAUUACACACACCGGGUGGGGAGGGGAGCGCCGUUGAAAGAUUGUAGUGCAUGAAUUGUAACGAUAAAGUUAUUGGACUUAUUUAGUUUAAAACUUGAACAAAAAAGAGGAUUUGUCACCACAUGAUUUGCUUUUUUUAGAGAAAAAAUAUCUAUAUGUCAACAAAAGAAAAACAUCUUGUGGAAUGAUAGUGUAAAAUACCGAGAUACUUUCGCCUUGUUCCGUCGGUAAAAAGCAAAUUAUCUCACCUAGGGAAUAACUUAUGAUUAUUACACGAUGCGGGGAAACAAUCAUUCUUUUAGCACCGAUGGGUUUGGGGGUGGCUACCGUAAUCGGAAAUUACCAUACUCGUACCCAGGCGCUAAAUGUUGAAAUUGAUGCGCAAAGAUGGGGGAUUGAAAAAAAAAACGUCCUUCCCAUAAAGCACUGCGCCCCCGCCUCGUAAAUUUCUGGGAAGUGAUUGCGCGCGCACAAACACGAGCUUGUGAACCGCAGUUAGCCGCCAGUGCUGAAAAACGCAAGACUAGUUCCACGCGGUUAAUCCAGCCAUUUUGUUUUAAAAUGACGGCGUUUUAACGGCCAACUGUCUCACCUUGGCAAAUGCAAA
This is a long non-coding RNA of Nematostella vectensis (starlet sea anemone), 1567 nucleotides long. RefSeq lists it as uncharacterized. The record is from RefSeq and is a predicted model, not a curated record. The transcript is spliced from 2 exons. Lineage: Eukaryota; Metazoa; Cnidaria; Anthozoa; Actiniaria; Edwardsiidae.